AGUCACUGACAUUAGAUACCCCCGUAGUCCCAGCCGUAAACUAUGCUCGCUAGGUGUCAGGCAUGGCGCGACCGUGUCUGGUGCCGCAGGGAAGCCGUGAAGCGAGCCACCUGGGGAGUACGGCCGCAAGGCUGAAACUUAAAGGAAUUGGCGGGGGAGCACAACAACGGGUGGAGCCUGCGGUUUAAUUGGACUCAACGCCGGACAACUCACCGGGAACGACAGCAAUAUGUAGGCCAGGCUGAAGACCUUGCCUGAAUCGCUG
This 265-nucleotide ribosomal RNA is filed under the name uncultured archaeon. RNAcentral describes it as "partial 16S ribosomal RNA". It matches the Rfam family "Archaeal small subunit ribosomal RNA", at positions 718 to 982 of the family's 1478-position model. The record is from RNAcentral.